GACGGAUGGUGCGAGCGUUAAUCGGAAUUACUGGGCGUAAAGCGCACGCAGGCGGUUUGUUAAGCUAGAUGUGAAAGCCCCGGGCUCAACCUGGGAUGGUCAUUUAGAACUGGCAGACUAGAGUCUUGGAGAGGGGAGUGGAAUUCCAGGUGUAGCGGUGAAAUGCGUAGAUAUCUGGAGGAACAUCAGUGGCGAAGGCGACUCCCUGGCCAAAGACUGACGCUCAUGUGCGAAAGUGUGGGUAGCGAACAGG
Molecule: ribosomal RNA, 253 nt
Filed under: uncultured bacterium
Lineage: Bacteria
Description: partial 16S ribosomal RNA
Rfam family: Bacterial small subunit ribosomal RNA
Source: RNAcentral